This 468-nucleotide ribosomal RNA is filed under the name uncultured bacterium. RNAcentral describes it as "partial 16S ribosomal RNA". It matches the Rfam family "Bacterial small subunit ribosomal RNA", at positions 28 to 507 of the family's 1533-position model. The record is from RNAcentral.
GACGAACGCUGGCGGCGUGCUUAGUACAUGCAAGUCGAACGGAAAGGCCCUGCUCUUGCGGGGUGCUCGAGUGGCGAACGGGUGAGUAACACGCGAGUAACCCGCCCUUGACUUUGGGAUAACUUUAGGAAACUGGGGCUAAUACCGGAUAGGAGCUCCUGCUGCAUGGUGGGGGUUGGAAAGUUUCGGCGGUUGGGGCUGGACUCGCGGCUUAUCAGCUUGUUGGUGGGGUAGUGGCUUACCAAGGCUUUGACGGGUAGCCGGCCUGAGAGGGUGACCGGCCACAUUGGGACUAAGAUACGGCCCAGACUCCUACGGGAGGCAGCGGUGGGGAGUAUUGCGCAAUAAGCGGAAGCCUGAUGCAGCGACGCCGCGUGCGGAAUGACGGCCUUCGAGUUAUGAACCGCUUUCGCCUGUAACGAAGCGUGAGUGACGGUAAUGGGUAAAGAAGCACCGGCUAACUACGUG